AGUGUUUUAUAGGUUUUGUCUGUCUGUGACAGCUCUCCAUUGCAGUUUUUUCCCAACACCGUAUUUCCUCAAGAGGUCCUUGAACUGCUCUUCCCUGUCAGAGUCCCUACUUCUCACAGUUCCCUCAAUAAGUUCAUCACUCCAACUAUUUUCGACUCAUCUAAUGAAUCCCCACAGAAACAUCCAGAACAUGAGCAGGCAGGGCCUCUCUACGUUCACCAGACGAUCAGAAGAAACUGAUCUGGGAUCAGAUCUUCACCUUAUCAAGCAGCUCAGGUUGACCUCCACACUUUGCUAGGAC
This is a long non-coding RNA of Seriola dumerili (greater amberjack), 301 nucleotides long. RefSeq lists it as uncharacterized. The transcript has 3 exons. The record is from RefSeq and is a predicted model, not a curated record. Lineage: Eukaryota; Metazoa; Chordata; Actinopteri; Carangiformes; Carangidae.